RNAcentral lists this ribosomal RNA (492 nucleotides) under uncultured bacterium. RNAcentral's name for it is "partial 16S ribosomal RNA". It matches the Rfam family "Bacterial small subunit ribosomal RNA", at positions 29 to 507 of the family's 1533-position model. The record is from RNAcentral.
AGUGAACGCUGGCGGUAGGCCUAACACAUGCAAGUCGAACGGCAGCACAGUAAGAGCUUGCUCUUACGGGUGGCGAGUGGCGGACGGGUGAGGAAUACAUCGGAAUCUACUUUUUCGUGGGGGAUAACGUAGGGAAACUUACGCUAAUACCGCAUACGACCUACGGGUGAAAGCAGUGGAUCUUCGGACCUUGCGCGAUUGAAUGAGCCGAUGUCGGAUUAGCUAGUUGGCGGGGUAAAGGCCCACCAAGGCGACGAUCCGUAGCUGGUCUGAGAGGAUGAUCGGCCACACUGGAACGGGGACACGGUCCAUACUCCUACGGGAGGCAGCAGUGGGGAAUAGUGGACAAUGGGCGCAAACCUGAUCCAGCCAUACCGCGUGGGUGAAGAAGGCCUUCGGGUUGUAAAGCCCUUUUGUUGGGAAAGAAAAGCAGCAGGUUAAUACCCCGCUGUUCUGACGGUACCCAAAGAAUAAGCACCGGCUAACUUCGUG